GACGAACGCUGGCGGCGUGCCUAAUACAUGCAAGUCGAACGCAGUGGGGACGGGUGAGUAACACGUGGGUAACCUCCCAUCAGAGGGGAUAACACUUGGAAACAGGUGCUAAACCGAUACUGAUGGAUGGACCCGCGGUGCAUUAGCUAGUUGGUGAGGUAACGGCUCACCAAGGCCACGAUGCAUAGCCGACCUGAGGGGGUGAGCGGCAACACUGGGACUGAGACACGGCCAAGACUCCGACGGAAGGCAGCAGUGGGGAAUCUUCGGAAAUGGGCGAAAGUCUGACCGAGCAACGCCGCGUGAGUGAAGAAGGUUUUCGGGGCGUAAAACUCUGUUGGUAGAGAAGCGGUAUCUAACCAGAAAGCACCGGCUAACUACGUGCCAGCCGCCGCGGUAAUUC
RNAcentral lists this ribosomal RNA (403 nucleotides) under uncultured bacterium. RNAcentral's name for it is "partial 16S ribosomal RNA". It matches the Rfam family "Bacterial small subunit ribosomal RNA", at positions 28 to 526 of the family's 1533-position model. The record is from RNAcentral.